UACAGCAAUAUCACGUUGAAAAAAACGGUUUUCGUACGAUCACUGAAGUUAAGCAACGUUGAGCGUGGUCAGUACCUAGAUGAGUGACCGUUUGGGAAU
Acanthosepion pharaonis is the source of this 99-nucleotide non-coding RNA. Lineage: Eukaryota; Metazoa; Mollusca; Cephalopoda; Sepiida; Sepiidae. The record is from the annotation of a GenBank genome assembly.